CUGCUCAGCAGCGGCCCAGACAGGAACCACUAACCUGAAUGCAAAUGGGAGAGAUGCAGUCUGAGCCUCAGCCUGGGUCUAUCCACCCACACCAUGCCUGCCCCCAGCCAGAAGCAGUGCCUGUGACCCCAUGGAGAAGAGACUGUCUGUUGCCUGCUGUGAGUGAGAGGCUGCCCUCUGCCUGCUUUCAGAUGGGCACCUGUGGCUGGGAUCGAACUUGGGACCUUGUGCUUGCGAGGCAGCCAGUGUCACCACUAAGCCAAAUCCUUGGCCCCUCAUACUGCACUGUAAAAGCAGCUUUACACAGUUCUUUAAGGGUCUUCAAAAUGUACCAGCUUUAUUGGAUCUCCAGCUGGAAGGUGGCAGUCAUCAUGAUCAUAUAAAAAGAUGUUCAGUGGGACUUUUCCCCGGUGUCCUGGGAUGCUGGCCAAAGCUGAGAACAAUGGGUGAGAAGUAUCUCCUCACUGUAAAGAAAGGACUGAAAAUAUCCUGCUGAACACACUCGGAGUAAGAAGCACCUUCCCAGCAACCAUUCACCCCAGCAAGGUCGAGCAGCCCAGACAGCCAGGCUUAGCCCAGAGAGGACCGUGAUGGCACCAGUGACUCCAGAGUCUUCUCUCCUGCAUUUAUCCCACUCACCCUAGUUGAAUCCAAGAUAUCCAGAAGAAAAAAUGGAGGGGUGGCCAAGAGUGAAAGACUAUUUGAGCCCCUUCCUCAUUGGAGUUGUUUGAUUCCUGGGUAAGGCAUGAGUCAAAGAGGGAAAAGAAGUAAGAGAUCAUGUUUGAAAUGGAAGUUUCACUGUUAGACUGGAUUGGACCCUGGACCACCAAAAAAGAAAUAAUAAUUAACUAAAUGAUCCUGUUUAUAGUGGAAAGUGAAGAAACACUUCAGAAUCUGCCUGAGAUUCCAUAACCAUGUGGGAAAGUGGGGUAUAAUAGUGUGUUUCCUGAGUGGUGGACUCCACCGAAGUCAAAGUGAAAAUAACUUCAGUCUACAGCUAAGUGUAUGUUUAAGGACCAAUUUUUGUUUUAAUUGUUUGUGUGCUUUAUAGCUGGGAAAUCUGAGGCAUAGACUAUGAUCCUUUAUCCAAGGGCAGUAUCUGCUCCAUCUGUCACGUAUUUUAACAAUAUGCAACUGGAUUUUUCCCUAGACAAUUUUUCUGUAUUUUCUUUUCUAUGAUUGCCUUCAAUUUACAACCAAGUUAUUAUUCUAAAAUAUUAAUUCCAUAGUAACAAAAACAAUCAGCAAAUCUCAUUUCUUCAUUAGAUACACAGUUCUCCCUCCCAAUAUGUGCAGGUUCCGCAUCUGAAGGUUCAACCAGUUAUGGAUUGAACUAUUUGGAAAAAGAUUCCAUCUGUAUUGAACACAGACAGUUUUCUUGCCCUUAUUCCCUAAAUAAAACAGUAUUGCAGCUCUCUAUGUAGCAUUUACUUUCUGGUAGGCAUUCUAAGUAAUCUAGAGACGAGUAAAGUUGCACAGGAGGAAAUGGGUAGACUGUAUGCAAAUACUAUGCCAUUUUAUCUCAGGCACUUGAGAAUCUGUGAAUUUUGGUUCCUGUGGGGCAUCCUGCUACCAUUUCUCUGCACAUAUCACAGGACAACUAUAUAUAGAGAGGUUGGUUUAUGACAAGUUAGUGAGGAACACCUGUUUAUGAAAAAGUAGUCAUAUUUUAACCAUAGCAUGGUUACAUUCAGUGAAUUCCUUCUCUGGGUAUGUGAAAGAUUUAACAAGAAAUGAAUAUUAUUUCUUCAGUUAAGCUUACAUAAGCUGUAUAGAAAGAAAGCCAUACUUUUCAAAGAAAUAACUAUAAAUACUUGGCUUGUGAAAAGUUAUGGCCUGUGAAGACAGGCAGAUCCAGAUAAAAUUGCUAUGCAUGUGACCUAGGGAAAAUUAUUUAGUCUCUCUGAAGUUCAGUUUUCUCAUCUGUAAAAUGGGACUCUUGGAUCUUAUUUUAUCUAGUGCUAUGCAAGGAUUAAAUGAAAUCACACACAUCACAGAUUACCUUAAAGAAUACAAUCAAUAAGUUUUUGUUCUCUGCCUUCCUCCUGCUCCUUGCUCCUAAACACAGGUUUGCCUAAUUUUUAUUUAUUUUAGUUUAAAAAUAUAUAUGGAAACAUGCAGUCCUAUUUUACUUAACUGUUUUGUAUGAUUACAAAUAUAAUUUGUAAUCUUUGCCACAAGUUAAAAGGGAGCGUAAUAAAAUGUUUAAUUACCUUACCUCCUAUUCCAAAUUCCUAAAAUAC
This is a long non-coding RNA of Heterocephalus glaber (naked mole-rat), 2243 nucleotides long. NCBI's taxonomy places the organism in Eukaryota, Metazoa, Chordata, Mammalia, Rodentia, Bathyergidae. The record is from Ensembl.